UUAUUACCCACUUGGGUGAAAAGAGAAGACAGGAAAUAAAUAUUGGAGUCGGCUGGCAACCUGUUUACAAAGCAAUUUACAACAGUUCCUUAUUCUUAAGGGGUUAUUCUAAUGUAAGACCUCAGAGAAACAGUGCAGUGUGACAAAGGAGGAAUUUAUCAAAGGAGACAGAAAAAGCAUCAAGGCAAGCUGUGAAAUGGUGCAGUAGGAACCAAAUAGAGAGCCAAAGGAUCUCUCUGUCACUGCAGGCCCUUAGGGAAGAUCUUUCUGAAUCCUGACUCUGUCAUCCAGCAUGUUAGCUUUCUUCCCUACCCUUCACAUCUUCCAAGCAGCCUAGCUAUGUCCCUGUCCGCAUUGUUCAUAAAAAGGUCCAAGUGCAGAUUAGCUUCCUUCAAGAAGCUAGUUAAUUUUCUAGCUAAACCCAAGCUCAGAUGCCAUGUGGAUGUAGGGAGGCUGAAUGGCCCCCCAGCAGGCUGAAGGAUGCGUCUGCCGCAGUCUCUCUGAAACAUGGAGCUGGUUCCCCAUUGACACAGCUGUGAGCAUCUGCACGGAGUGAAGGGCUGGCUGGGCUGAGCGUACGGGCUGCCUUUUGCUACACCACAGCAUGCUUGUUUCUUAUAUCUAGUCAUCCGCAGAGACAGCUCCAAGCAAUUUUUUCUGGCUGGUUGUCCUUCCAGUGCCUGACAUGAGAAUCACAGCCUUGGCGAGAAAACAGCCGCUGCAGGGAGUGGUGGCCACAGUACUCUCGGUAUCCCUCCCCUGCGUCCACUUCCCACCACCCCUCGGAGGGGCCAGCACACACGACAGUGACCGGGGCAUGUGGCAAGAGCGUGUGAGAGAAUAUCUACCCU
This 851-nucleotide non-coding RNA is filed under the name Pongo abelii (Sumatran orangutan). The record is from RNAcentral. Lineage: Eukaryota; Metazoa; Chordata; Mammalia; Primates; Hominidae.